Molecule: ribosomal RNA, 465 nt
Filed under: uncultured Klebsiella sp.
Lineage: Bacteria; Pseudomonadati; Pseudomonadota; Gammaproteobacteria; Enterobacterales; Enterobacteriaceae
Description: bacterial SSU rRNA
Rfam family: Bacterial small subunit ribosomal RNA
Source: RNAcentral
CCUACGGGUGGCUGCAGUGGGGAAUAUUGCACAAUGGGCGCAAGCCUGAUGCAGCCAUGCCGCGUGUGUGAAGAAGGCCUUCGGGUUGUAAAGCACUUUCAGCGGGGAGGAAGGCGGUGAGGUUAAUAACCUCAUCGAUUGACGUUACCCGCAGAAGAAGCACCGGCUAACUCCGUGCCAGCAGCCGCGGUAAUACGGAGGGUGCAAGCGUUAAUCGGAAUUACUGGGCGUAAAGCGCACGCAGGCGGUCUGUCAAGUCGGAUGUGAAAUCCCCGGGCUCAACCUGGGAACGGCAUUCGAAACUGGCAGGCUAGAGUCUUGUAGAGGGGGGUAGAAUUCCAGGUGUAGCGGUGAAAUGCGUAGAGAUCUGGAGGAAUACCGGUGGCGAAGGCGGCCCCCUGGACAAAGACUGACGCUCAGGUGCGAAAGCGUGGGGAGCAAACAGGAUUAGAUACCCGUGUAGUC